GAUGAACGCUAGCGGCAGGCCUAAUACAUGCAAGUCAAGGGCCAGUAUGGCACCGGCGGACGGGUGCGUAACGCGUACACAACGUACCUUUGGGUGGGGGAUAGCAUCGGGAAACUGGUGGUAAUACCCCCAUGGUAUUGGAGACUGGCAUCAGUUUUCAAUUAAGACUACGCCCAAAGAUCGGUGUGCGUCUGAUUAGCUAGUUGGUAGGGUAACGGCCUACCAAGGCGACGAUCAGUAGGGGAUGUGAGAGCAUGAUCCCCCACACGGGUACUGAGACACGGACCCGACUCCUACGGGAGGCAGCAGUAAGGAAUAUUGGACAAUGGUCGGAAGACUGAUCCAGCCAUGCCGCGUGAAGGAUGAAGGCGCUCAGCGUUGUAAACUUCUUUUGUACGGGAACAAAAUGCGACCUGCGGGUUGUACUGAGGGUACCGUAAGAAUAAGCACCGGCUAACUCCGUG
Molecule: ribosomal RNA, 464 nt
Filed under: uncultured bacterium
Lineage: Bacteria
Description: bacterial SSU rRNA
Rfam family: Bacterial small subunit ribosomal RNA
Source: RNAcentral